GGGGGCGCAACGGCUUCGACGGGUUAGUAUUCGUUUGAAAAGGCGUGUCGGGUUCCGAGCUCCCGUAAAACGAUCGGAAAACCAAAACUGCCAACACGCAGUUUGCUUACGCUGCCUAAUUAUUAGGUAGCCGUCCCUGGCGGCGAGCCCGUUCGUCGUCAACGGAUGUCAUUCAUACGGGAUAGGCCGAGAGCUUCUGUCCGGAGCAGCAGGCCGAGAUCAAUCGGGCUAGGCGGCUGGUGAUUUUGCCGAUUCCGAACCAGUUGCCGAAGUUCCAGAAUCAGGCUACACACGUAGGCUUUUCAGGCUGAGCUUUCUCGGACGCGGGUUCAACUCCCGCCGCCUCCACCA
Molecule: transfer-messenger RNA, 351 nt
Filed under: Bryobacteraceae
Lineage: Bacteria; Pseudomonadati; Acidobacteriota; Terriglobia; Bryobacterales
Also listed under: 1 other name
Description: CADEFT01 sp019187195 Standard tmRNA
Rfam family: transfer-messenger RNA
About the family: Bacterial tmRNA, also known as 10Sa RNA or SsrA, is named for its dual tRNA and mRNA-like properties. Its role is to liberate the mRNA from a stalled ribosome. To accomplish this part of the tmRNA is used as a reading frame that ends in a translation stop signal.
Source: RNAcentral